UUUUAGAGAAAAAAAAUAUAUUAAUAGAAAUUCAAUCGCAUGAACAGGAGGGCAACUUUCAGUUGUUUUACCAUGCCAGUAAACAAGCUUUUAUGAAAAGCACGAAGCGGUCUACAAAACUAAAUUCCAGUUUAUGCAAUAUACCCCCUUCAAAGAAUAAAACCCACUGUCAGAUCUGCAUGCAGAUAAAAAGACAAUAGCUCGACAAGACAAGGAAUAUGAGGACAAAAUAUUGAUAAAGAUCAUACAAAAUAUAAAAUUGAAAAAGCUAGUGAAAACAAGGUAAUGCCAUUGCAAGCAAUUAGGCAGUUGGUUUUGAUUCGGCUUCCGAGGCAUGCUGGUCACCAGUUGGAGAAACCACUUCUUUGGGAGGGUGCGAUGAACCAUUUGAAGUGGCAUCUUUAGGAGAUGCAACAGGCUCCUUCACAUCAGAACCUGUUGCAUUUGAUGCUGCAUCUUUUCCAGAUUUGGCGUCCUUUCCAUCCUUUCCAUCUUUGGCGUCCUUUUUGGGUGCAGGUGGAGGUGGUAUCAUGUGAGGUGGGGGUGUGUGUUUCAGCUUCACGAGUAUCUGGCGCAUCCUUGAAAGAUCAGUGGGUUUUCCUGGCUUUGGCCCCUGGAUUACAGUAAUUGACGGUUUCUUUUCUUGAUCCUUCUUGCCUCUCUUCUUCUCAAUAUUGGGAACCUCGUAAGGGAUAAGCUCUGCUAUUGCUUUCCAGUACUGUUUGUCAGCCUCUUUAUGGAAUUUCUCUUGGUUGGCCAAGUAUAACUGCUCCACACACAACCAAACAAUCCUGAUUCGAUGGCUAGAAAAAAGACUUAAAAUCUAGCAAAAUGAAUCUCUGUUGGAAACUUUACCUUCUCCCUUUCCCUGUUAUUAGUUUUGUUGGUCUCAAUGUUAAGCUUCCUUUUCUCAUAAAAAGCAAGUAUAUACUCUUCCGCUUCUUCAAUAAUCUGCUUCCUCAUUUCCUUCUCCCUCUUUUCCUUCUCCUCAAGAUGAAUGGCAUUUUGACGCCGCCACUCGCGAAGGGCGUAUCCUUCCUCGGGCUCCAUCUCAGAAGGUGGAGGAAGCACAGGCCCAUCCGAAGUAAAAACGCCAUCUCCAGCUACAUUAUAACCGUUGCCGUUGCCGUUUUCAACGUGGAUCGUGCUGAACGGACUCUGCGAAUAGCUAGCGUUCGGAUCCACAUCGACUGAAGAAGAUCCGAAUCCAAAGACAUCAGGAGAAGAGGCAGCGACAUGAUCUACGGGGACAUCUCCGCUGGGGAACUCGCCAGUGCCGCCGGUGGUGAAGUUGGAGUAGGAACCGAAGUUGGAGUAGCUAUCGUCUUCUUCUUCUUCAAAGGAUCUGUGAUUGGACGUGUGAAUCUCCUCGCCGUCGAUGCCGAAGGUAUCGAAAGAAGCCAUGAGACGCUUUGUCUCUAAGAGAUUAAAAGCUCUGUAGAAAUGAGAUUUUUCUUUCACUGGGAAUACAGUGGAGGAAGAUUCAAACUUAG
This 1493-nucleotide unclassified non-coding RNA is filed under the name Hevea brasiliensis (rubber tree). Lineage: Eukaryota; Viridiplantae; Streptophyta; Magnoliopsida; Malpighiales; Euphorbiaceae. The record is from RNAcentral.